UGGGGAAUUUUGCACAAUGGGGGAAACCCUGAUGCAGCGACGCCGCGUGAUUUAGAAGGCCUUCGGGUUGUAAAAAUCUUUUGUAUGGGAAGAAAAUGACAGUACCAUACGAAUAAGGACCGGCUAAUUACGUGCCAGCAGCCGCGGUAAUACGUAAGGUCCGAGCGUUGUCCGGAAUCAUUGGGCGUAAAGGGUACGUAGGCGGAUAAGCAAGUUAGAAGUGAAAUCCUAUAGCUCAACUAUAGUAAGCUUUUAAAACUGCUCAUCUUGAGGUAUGGAAGGGAAAGUGGAAUUCCUAGUGUAGCGGUGAAAUGCGCAGAUAUUAGGAGGAAUACCGGUGGCGAAGGCGACUUACUGGGCUCAUUCUGACGCUGAGGAACGAAAGCGUGGGUAGCAAACAGG
Molecule: ribosomal RNA, 402 nt
Filed under: Verrucomicrobiota bacterium
Lineage: Bacteria; Pseudomonadati; Verrucomicrobiota
Description: Verrucomicrobia bacterium partial 16S ribosomal RNA
Rfam family: Bacterial small subunit ribosomal RNA
Source: RNAcentral